GCGAACGCUGGCGGCGUGCUUAACACAUGCAAGUCGAACGGGAUUUAGUAGACAGAAGCCUCGGUGGAAGAUUACUAAUGAGAGUGGCGAACGGGUGAGUAACGCGUGAGCAACCUGCCUAUGACAGUGGGAUAGCCUCGGGAAACCGGGAUUAAUACCGCAUAAAAUCGUAGAAACACAUGUUUCAACGGUCAAAGAUUUAUCGGUCAUAGAUGGGCUCGCGUCUGAUUAGCUAGUUGGUGAGAUAACAGCCCACCAAGGCGACGAUCAGUAGCCG
This 277-nucleotide ribosomal RNA is filed under the name uncultured bacterium. RNAcentral describes it as "partial 16S ribosomal RNA". It matches the Rfam family "Bacterial small subunit ribosomal RNA", at positions 29 to 289 of the family's 1533-position model. The record is from RNAcentral.